UACGUAGGGGGCAAGCGUUGUCCGGAUUUAUUGGGCGUAAAGAGCGUGUAGGCGGCCAUGUAGGUCCGUUGUGAAAACUCGAGGCUCAACCUCGAGACGCCGGUGGAAACCGUAAGGCUAGAGUCCGGAAGAGGAGAGUGGAAUUCCUGGUGUAGCGGUGAAAUGCGCAGAUAUCAGGAGGAACACCCGUGGCGAAAGCGGCUCUCUGGGACGGUACUGACGCUGAGACGCGAAAGCGUGGGGAGCAAACAGG
RNAcentral lists this ribosomal RNA (253 nucleotides) under uncultured bacterium. RNAcentral's name for it is "partial 16S ribosomal RNA". It matches the Rfam family "Bacterial small subunit ribosomal RNA", at positions 524 to 776 of the family's 1533-position model. The record is from RNAcentral.